This 1122-nucleotide ribosomal RNA is filed under the name Escherichia coli. Its description in RNAcentral is "bacterial SSU rRNA". It matches the Rfam family "Bacterial small subunit ribosomal RNA", at positions 54 to 1166 of the family's 1533-position model. Lineage: Bacteria; Pseudomonadati; Pseudomonadota; Gammaproteobacteria; Enterobacterales; Enterobacteriaceae. The record is from RNAcentral.
CAUGCAAGUCGAACGGUAACAGGAAGAAGCUUGCUUCUUUGCUGACGAGUGGCGGACGGGUGAGUAAUGUCUGGGAAACUGCCUGAUGGAGGGGGAUAACUACUGGAAACGGUAGCUAAUACCGCAUAACGUCGCAAGACCAAAGAGGGGGACCUUCGGGCCUCUUGCCAUCGGAUGUGCCCAGAUGGGAUUAGCUAGUAGGUGGGGUAACGGCUCACCUAGGCGACGAUCCCUAGCUGGUCUGAGAGGAUGACCAGCCACACUGGAACUGAGACACGGUCCAGACUCCUACGGGAGGCAGCAGUGGGGAAUAUUGCACAAUGGGCGCAAGCCUGAUGCAGCCAUGCCGCGUGUAUGAAGAAGGCCUUCGGGUUGUAAAGUACUUUCAGCGGGGAGGAAGGGAGUAAAGUUAAUACCUUUGCUCAUUGACGUUACCCGCAGAAGAAGCACCGGCUAACUCCGUGCCAGCAGCCGCGGUAAUACGGAGGGUGCAAGCGUUAAUCGGAAUUACUGGGCGUAAAGCGCACGCAGGCGGUUUGUUAAGUCAGAUGUGAAAUCCCCGGGCUCAACCUGGGAACUGCAUCUGAUACUGGCAAGCUUGAGUCUCGUAGAGGGGGGUAGAAUUCCAGGUGUAGCGGUGAAAUGCGUAGAGAUCUGGAGGAAUACCGGUGGCGAAGGCGGCCCCCUGGACGAAGACUGACGCUCAGGUGCGAAAGCGUGGGGAGCAAACAGGAUUAGAUACCCUGGUAGUCCACGCCGUAAACGAUGUCGACUUGGAGGUUGUGCCCUUGAGGCGUGGCUUCCGGAGCUAACGCGUUAAGUCGACCGCCUGGGGAGUACGGCCGCAAGGUUAAAACUCAAAUGAAUUGACGGGGGCCCGCACAAGCGGUGGAGCAUGUGGUUUAAUUCGAUGCAACGCGAAGAACCUUACCUGGUCUUGACAUCCACGGAAGUUUUCAGAGAUGAGAAUGUGCCUUCGGGAACCGUGAGACAGGUGCUGCAUGGCUGUCGUCAGCUCGUGUUGUGAAAUGUUGGGUUAAGUCCCGCAACGAGCGCAACCCUUAUCCUUUGUUGCCAGCGGUCCGGCCGGGAACUCAAAGGAGACUGCCAGUGAUAAACUGG